CAGUCGACGAUGAUGCCCAGCUUGCUGGGUGGAUUAGUGGCGAACGGGUGAGUAACACGUGAGUAACCUGCCCCUGACUCUGGGAUAAGCGUUGGAAACGACGUCUAAUACUGGAUAUGACUACCGGCCGCAUGGUCUGGUGGUGGAAAGAUUUUUUGGUUGGGGAUGGACUCGCGGCCUAUCAGCUUGUUGGUGAGGUAAUGGCUCACCAAGGCGACGACGGGUAGCCGGCCUGAGAGGGUGACCGGCCACACUGGGACUGAGACACGGCCCAGACUCCUACGGGAGGCAGCAGUGGGGAAUAUUGCACAAUGGGCGAAAGCCUGAUGCAGCAACGCCGCGUGAGGGAUGACGGCCUUCGGGUUGUAAACCUCUUUUAGUAGGGAAGAAGCGACUGAGUUUACUCUGAGUGACGGUACCUGCAGAAAAAGCACCGGCUAACUACGUGCCAGCAGCCGCGGUAAUACGUAGGGUGCAAGCGUUGUCCGGAAUUAUUGGGCGUAAAGAGCUCGUAGGCGGUUUGUCGCGUCUGCUGUGAAAUCCCGAGGCUCAACCUCGGGCUUGCAGUGGGUACGGGCAGACUAGAGUGCGGUAGGGGAGAUUGGAAUUCCUGGUGUAGCGGUGGAAUGCGCAGAUAUCAGGAGGAACACCGAUUGCGAAGGCAGAUCUCUAGGCCGUAACUGACGCUGAGGAGCGAAAGCAUGAGGAGCGAACAGGAUUAGAUACCCUGGUAGUCCAUGCCGUAAACGUUGGGCGCUAGAUGUAGGGACCU
RNAcentral lists this ribosomal RNA (772 nucleotides) under Glaciibacter sp. Its description in RNAcentral is "bacterial SSU rRNA". It matches the Rfam family "Bacterial small subunit ribosomal RNA", at positions 59 to 831 of the family's 1533-position model. The record is from RNAcentral. Lineage: Bacteria; Bacillati; Actinomycetota; Actinomycetes; Micrococcales; Microbacteriaceae.